GACGCACCGCGGUGAUGGCGAGACGCCCGUCGAAAGCCUUCCUCACCGAGGCCUCGUCGACGUCGCCCCACAGUGCGGGCGAGAAGAUCCAGCCGUCGUCGUCCACACAGUCGAACCCCAUCGUCUUGUUUACGAUGCUCUCGGCGUAGAGCACGAGCAGCACGCCUUGCGCAAGAGAUCGUAAAAGACCCUGGCGACCGGGGAUUCUUGGUUCUUGGGCGUGGGGUGGGAGUGGCCGGGGAUUCUUGGUUUCUUUCCGCGAGGGAGAAGGAAGGAAGGAUAACAAGAAGAGAUGCGGGAGGCCGAGUCCGUGCGCCGGAGUUCUUGGGCGUUGGGUGGAGGCCGCCGGGAUUUCUUGAUUCUUGGGCGAGG
Molecule: long non-coding RNA, 372 nt
Filed under: Setaria italica (foxtail millet)
Lineage: Eukaryota; Viridiplantae; Streptophyta; Magnoliopsida; Poales; Poaceae
Description: long non-coding RNA (SITA_LNC003413)
Source: RNAcentral